This 299-nucleotide long non-coding RNA is filed under the name Elaeis guineensis (African oil palm). RNAcentral's name for it is "long non-coding RNA (EGUI_LNC040003)". Lineage: Eukaryota; Viridiplantae; Streptophyta; Magnoliopsida; Arecales; Arecaceae. The record is from RNAcentral.
GCAUUUGCUAUGGAUUGCCUUAAAUUUUCGACUUCCUCUUCCAGUUCCAUCUUUUUCAGCAGCAUAUCCUGGAAUAUCUGGUGGAACCACCAGUGCUCAUCCUCUGACUCUUGAAGCCUCCUCCUCAAGACCUCGGACUCCACCUCAGCAUCCUUGACUGCUUGCUGCUCGGGGACCAGUUGAACUUUCAGCCACCGUAAUUCGGCUUCCUCCCGCCCAAGGGCUACAGAUAGUUCCGCCAUAGUCCCCCUCAAGGAGCAAAGCUCAUCAGAACCUUGUGCAAGGAUAGGCUGGACUCU